RNAcentral lists this unclassified non-coding RNA (206 nucleotides) under Hevea brasiliensis (rubber tree). The record is from RNAcentral. Lineage: Eukaryota; Viridiplantae; Streptophyta; Magnoliopsida; Malpighiales; Euphorbiaceae.
UUCUUCAAUUCAAAUGGGAAUUUGAGUUCAGUGGGUUGAAUGUUGAGAAGAUCUCCGGUGGUCAUGACUUUCCAAUCAGAAAAUCAGUUAAUAUUAUGAGAACUGAAAUCUGUAUGAAGAUUAGGGUUUGUGGUGGUGGAGGAAUAACUUGUUCAGCCCUUUAAGUUGAGUGUGAUCGAAGAGACUGGAAACAGAAAUGGCAGAAA